RNAcentral lists this ribosomal RNA (539 nucleotides) under Vibrio sp. IUET-AK22. RNAcentral's name for it is "partial 16S ribosomal RNA". Lineage: Bacteria; Pseudomonadati; Pseudomonadota; Gammaproteobacteria; Vibrionales; Vibrionaceae. RNAcentral also lists the same sequence under 1 other name. The record is from RNAcentral.
GUAUUACCGCGGCGGCUGGCACGGAGUUAGCCGGUGCUUCUUCUGUUGCUAACGUCAAGAUGCGCAGCUAUUAACUACACACCCUUCCUCACAACUGAAAGUACUUUACAACCCGAAGGCCUUCUUCAUACACGCGGCAUGGCUGCAUCAGGCUUUCGCCCAUUGUGCAAUAUUCCCCACUGCUGCCUCCCGUAGGAGUCUGGACCGUGUCUCAGUUCCAGUGUGGCUGAUCAUCCUCUCAGACCAGCUAGGGAUCGUCGCCUUGGUGAGCCAUUACCUCACCAACUAGCUAAUCCCACCUAGGCAUAUCUUGACGCGAGAGGCCCGAAGGUCCCCCUCUUUGGCCCGUAGGCAUCAUGCGGUAUUAGCCAUCGUUUCCAAUGGUUAUCCCCCACAUCAAGGCAAUUUCCUAGGCAUUACUCACCCGUCCGCCGCUCGACGCCCAUUAACGCACCCGAAGGAUUGUUAGUGUCGUUUCCGCUCGACUUGCAUGUGUUAGGCCUGCCGCCAGCGUUCAAUCUGAGCCAGGAUCAAACUCU